RNAcentral lists this long non-coding RNA (2040 nucleotides) under Marmota monax (woodchuck). The record is from RNAcentral. Lineage: Eukaryota; Metazoa; Chordata; Mammalia; Rodentia; Sciuridae.
UUAAUUUUUUUUUUUUAGUUUUUUCGGCAGACACAACAUCUUUCUUUGUAUGUGGUGCUGAGGAUCGAACCCGGGCCACACGCAUGCCAGGCGAGCGCGCUACCGCUUGAGCCACAUCCCCAGCCCCCCUUUGUGGUAUCUUAAGACUGUCUCAGGCGCAUAGUUUCUGUGCCCUUGCAAAAGGCAUAGGAUUGCCUAUUCCAAUGCCCAUCGUUUCAUGGUCUCUUCUCUCCAGUGUACCUGUAGCGAAAAAAGUCCCUUGGAUUCCAAGUGAGCUGAUGGCAGCACUGCUUUCUCUUUUCUUUGGGGUGUGAGUUGAUUGUGGUCAUAGUCACCUUCUUUUUCCUUCAAGACCACAUUCCCAUUCUAUUUGAAAAAUGUUUGUCUGGGUAACUUCCUCCCUUGGAAUGUUUAGCAUCCUCUCCACCCACCAUGCAGGACCACCCCUUCUGCCCAUGAUUGUCAUCACUGUAGACUAACACAUGUCUUCCAUUCCCAGCAUGUACUUUUUCUUCUUUCAAGGUACCAUAUACGGUAUAUAAGAAAGUAAGUGAUAUGGAUGCUGAUACCUUUCAGGUGAGGUGGCACAAAGGGAGGAGACAAAGCUUAAAUAUUUACCUUAGAUGGAACUUGACUUUGCUUGUUUGAGACCUUUAUUUAUUAGUUCCUAUAUACUUGGCCAUGGGUAAGGGAAAACGAAGGGAGGAGGUGGUAGUGAAGAGAAUGAAGUGAGGGAUUCUUGCAGACUCUUUUCCUCUAGAGCCUGGAGGCCCCAUUUGGAACUGCAUUGGGAAGUGACUAUCUCUUCAUUCACACACAGGCUUCCCCUGGGCAGUUCUUUCCUCUGGCACUUGAAUCAGAUGUGGAUAGAUUAAGCAUUUUCUCUUGCUGCCAAUGGACAUUUAGAAAGUUGGUUAGUCUCAAGUGCACCAUUACAACCUCACUUUUUAUUUUUAUUAAAAUCACAAACUUAAGUAAUGAGAAAUAAUUAUUUUUGGGGUGAGUCAGCUCUUUUCACAAGUUGGGUUUGUGACCAUUACCCACUUAGAGGAGGACAAUCUCAGCUAAGAAUCACGCUUAAUUAUAAAAACAAGGAAUGAUGAUGACAUUGGGCAAUUUGAGUAAUUAAAAUUAUUUAGAGAAGCAUUGAUUGGUUUAAACCAAAAUAUGCCUGAAAGCUUAUUUGUAUUUUAUAUAUAUUCACAUGACAUUCUUGUCACCUAGUCUUCUUUCUCAUUUCAAAACACUGGAGGAUAUUCUAUAUCCUGGAAUAAUAAUUGAGACUACUCCAUUCAAAUACUUUGAAUUUACGAGACUAGCUAACUACAAUUCUUUCAGUAUAGGAAAAGGAUAGUAGAAUUUUAGGGAAAACUGUUCCUGGUUUCUUUGCGUUAUGUUUAGCGGUUUUAUUUUUGUUGAAAUUCUCCAAAUUAAAAUGCAAAAGCUUAACUUCUUGGCUGGGUUUGCUUGCUUAACCUUAAUAAAAUAUAAGGCUCUGUUUCAUUAAUCAGAAACACACUAGACACAGUGCAUGAAUUUUAUCUUCCACUUUGUCCUUUAUAUUUCAGAAUGAUAAUAAUAAUAAAAAUUUAUAGGGGUUGGCAGGCCAGACAAUCCUGCCUCCAUUGUUUCUAGGAGGUUCCUUUGUAAAAUGGAUUUCUCAGACAGGCAAAAUGCCUUCAGGGACAAAAAUUCCUAUAAUCCUCUUCUCUGGAAAUCUUUAAAAAUAGAAUAAACUUUUAUUCAUUCGUCUGGGUGUGGUUUAAGCACAGUUCGUCUUAGGCAGAGGGAUGGUUUAACUGACCUCUUGAUGUUGCUGUAAGCUGCACAAUCACUUAAAUGGGGGAAUUUUCCUUUAAUCAGUGCCAGAUUUAAUUUAUCACAACAAUACAUGUUUUUAUGGAUGUAGUAAAACAAAAAUCAGGUGCAAUCUUCUUUUCCAUGGUAAAGUAAUAAAAUGGUUUAUUCUCAAAUUCGAGAAAGUAAAAUUGAAUCAGGAACAGAUACGAUGUUUUCCCCUUCCUCAAAUUUGUACCACAG